CACGUAGUUAGCCGGUGCUUCUUCUGCAGGUACCGUCUGGAUUCGUUCCUGCUGAAAGAGGUUUACAACCCGAAGGCCUUCAUCCCUCACGCGGCGUCGCUGCGUCAGGCUUCCGCCCAUUGCGCAAUAUUCCCCACUGCUGCCUCCCGUAGGAGUCUGGGCCGUGUCUCAGUCCCAGUGUGGCCGGUCGCCCUCUCAGGCCGGCUACCCGUCGUCGCCUUGGUAGGCCAUUACCCCACCAACAAGCUGAUAGGCCGCGGGCCCAUCCUUGACCGAAAAAACUUUCAACCACCCCAGAUGCCCAGGGAAGUGAUAUCCGGUAUUAGCAGCUGUUUCCAACUGUUAUCCCGAAGUCAAGGGCAGGUUACCCACGUGUUACUCACCCGUUCGCCACUCGAGUACCCGCAAGCGGGCCUUUCCGUUCGACUUGCAUGUGUUAAGCACGCCGCCAGCGUUCGUCCUGAGCCAGGAUCAAACUCU
RNAcentral lists this ribosomal RNA (480 nucleotides) under uncultured Actinomycetales bacterium. RNAcentral describes it as "partial 16S ribosomal RNA". Lineage: Bacteria; Bacillati; Actinomycetota; Actinomycetes; Actinomycetales. The record is from RNAcentral.